GGCUUAGAGUUUGAUCAUGGCUCAGGAUGAACGCUGGCGGCGUGCCUAACACAUGCAAGUCGAACGAAGCACUUAUCUUUGAUUCUUUCGGGAUGAAGAGAUAUUUGACUGAGUGGCGGACGGGUGAGUAACGCGUGGGUAACCUGCCUCAUACAGGGGGAUAACAGUUAGAAAUGACUGCUAAUACCGCAUAAGCGCACGGAAUCGCAUGAUUCAGUGUGAAAAGCCGAGACGGUAUGAGAUGGACCCGCGUCUGAUUAGGUAGUUGGUGAGGUAACGGCCCACCAAGCCGACGAUCAGUAGCCGACCUGAGAGGGUGACCGGCCACAUUGGGACUGAGACACGGCCCAAACUCCUACGGGAGGCAGCAGUGGGGAAUAUUGCACAAUGGGGGAAACCCUGAUGCAGCGACGCCGCGUGAAGGAAGAAGUAUUUCGGUAUGUAAACUCCUAUCAGCAGGGAAGAAAAUGACGGUACCUGACUAAGAAGCCCCGGCUAACUACGUGCCAGCAGCCGCGGUAAUACGUAGGGGGCAAGCGUUAUCCGGAUUUACUGGGUGUAAAGGGAGCGUAGGCGGUCUGACAAGUCAGAAGUGAAAGCCCGGGGCUCAACCUCGGGACUGCUUUUGAAACUGCCGGACUAGAUUGCAGGAGAGGUAAGUG
Molecule: ribosomal RNA, 662 nt
Filed under: uncultured bacterium
Lineage: Bacteria
Description: bacterial SSU rRNA
Rfam family: Bacterial small subunit ribosomal RNA
Source: RNAcentral